CCUACGGGAGGCAGCAGUGGGGAAUCUUGCGCAAUGGGCGAAAGCCUGACGCAGCCAUGCCGCGUGAAUGAUGAAGGUCUUAGGAUUGUAAAAUUCUUUCACCGAGGACGAUAAUGACGGUACUCGGAGAAGAAGCCCCGGCUAACUUCGUGCCAGCAGCCGCGGUAAUACGAAGGGGGCUAGCGUUGCUCGGAAUUACUGGGCGUAAAGGGAGCGUAGGCGGAUAGUUUAGUCAGAGGUGAAAGCCCAGGGCUCAACCUUGGAAUUGCCUUUGAUACUGGCUAUCUUGAGUACGGAAGAGGUAUGUGGAACUCCGAGUGUAGAGGUGAAAUUCGUAGAUAUUCGGAAGAACACCAGUGGCGAAGGCGACAUACUGGUCCGUUACUGACGCUGAGGCUCGAAAGCGUGGGGAGCAAACAGGAUUAGAUACCCUGGUAGUCCACGCUGUAAACGAUGAGUGCUAGUUGUCGGCAUGCAUGCAUGUCGGUGACGCAGCUACGACAUAAGACACUCCGCCGUCGGGGAGGUACGGUCGGCGAAGAAGUUAAACGUAACAAUAGAAGUUAGUACGGCGUGAGACGUGACCGACGGACGACGACGAGGGAGGAGG
RNAcentral lists this ribosomal RNA (610 nucleotides) under uncultured bacterium. RNAcentral's name for it is "bacterial SSU rRNA". The stretch from base 1 to 517 matches the Rfam family "Bacterial small subunit ribosomal RNA", at positions 338 to 873 of the family's 1533-position model. The record is from RNAcentral.